GAUGAAGAACGUAGCGAAAUGCGAUACGUAAUGUGAAUUGCAGAAUUCAGUGAAUCAUCGAGUCUUUGAACGCACAUUGCGCCCACUGGUAUUCCGGGGGGCAUGCCUGUCCGAGCGUCAUUGCUGCCCUCAAGCACGGCUUGUGUGUUGGGCCUCCGUCCUCCUCCCGGGGGACGGGCCCGAAAGGCAGCGGCGGCACCGCGUCCGGUCCUCGAGCGUAUGGGGCUUCGUCACCCGCUCUUGUAGGCCCGGCCGGCGCUUGCCGACACAUCAAUCUUUUUUCCAGGUUGACCUCGGAUCAGGUAGGGAUACCCGCUGAACUUAAGCAUAUCAAUAAGCGGAGGA
RNAcentral lists this unclassified non-coding RNA (345 nucleotides) under soil metagenome. Its description in RNAcentral is "partial contains 5.8S ribosomal RNA, internal transcribed spacer 2, and large subunit ribosomal RNA". The stretch from base 1 to 120 matches the Rfam family "5.8S ribosomal RNA", at positions 35 to 154 of the family's 154-position model. The record is from RNAcentral.